GCUGGGUAUAAUGGUGUGCACCUGUAAUCCUAGCUACACAGGAGGCUGAAGCAUGAGAAUCUCUUGAACCCAGGCAGCAGGGACGUGAGAAUCUCUUCAACCCAGGAGGCAGAGCUUGCAGUGANNNNNNNNNNUUUUUUUUUUUGAUACAGAAUCUCUGUCAUCCAGGCUGGAGUGCAGUGGCGUGAUCUUGACUCACUGCAAGCUCUGCCUCCUGGGUUGAAGAGAUUCUCACGUCCCUGCUGCCUGGGUUCAAGAGAUUCUCAUGCUUCAG
RNAcentral lists this signal recognition particle RNA (274 nucleotides) under Gorilla gorilla gorilla (western lowland gorilla). RNAcentral's name for it is "Metazoan signal recognition particle RNA". It matches the Rfam family "Metazoan signal recognition particle RNA". From Rfam's summary of the family: The signal recognition particle (SRP) is a universally conserved ribonucleoprotein. It is involved in the co-translational targeting of proteins to membranes. The eukaryotic SRP consists of a 300-nucleotide 7S RNA and six proteins: SRPs 72, 68, 54, 19, 14, and 9. The record is from Rfam by way of RNAcentral. Lineage: Eukaryota; Metazoa; Chordata; Mammalia; Primates; Hominidae.